Molecule: long non-coding RNA, 1110 nt
Organism: Cyprinus carpio (common carp)
Lineage: Eukaryota; Metazoa; Chordata; Actinopteri; Cypriniformes; Cyprinidae
Source: Ensembl
AUGGACCCUGUGAAGAAAAUAACAAAAGAAGAUACUUGGAGGACUGAUGACUUAAAAGUGCACAUCGAGGCACACAAUGAGGAGAGCAAAAGAAGAUCUAAACGAGAAGAGGAGCACAGGAAAUACAGGGAUGGAGAGUCUCUGGAUCGCCGUCGCAGAGAUCCUGAUCGAGAUGCAAAAAGAGAAAAAGAAAAACGGAGAGAGCGAGAAAGCACAAGAGAGAAGAGCAAACACAGAGACCCAGACGGGGAUAGAAACCAGGACGACAAGCUGGAAGACAUCAGGGAGGAUAGAUAUAAAGAGAGAAAGAGAGAGCGAGAGAGAGACAACAGACACAGAGAUGGAGAUGAAGAAGAAAAAAGACACAGUCGAGGGGAGAAGGAAACUGGUGAAAGACGGAGGGAUAGAGAAAAGGACCGAUAUAAAGACAGGGACAUAGACAUGUACAGUCAGGGGGCCAGGGGUACAAACAGGGAAGGAGAAAAAGAUAGAGAUAGAAGAAGAACUGAGAGAGACAGGGAGCGAAAAAGUGAAACAGAUAGAAGGAAAGAGGAGAGAAGAGACGGAGAAAAAGACGAAAGGGAGAGAGACAAAGAACGAGAAAGAGAGAGGAGAGAAAGACACCGAGCAAGAGAAAGUGAACAGCAGCGACAUGAACAUGAGGAAAAACAGAGGGACGGAGAAAGGAGAGAGAGACGCAGUGAUAAAGAACACUCUGGACACAAAGAAAAAGAACACAGAAGAGAUAGAGAAGAUAGAGAGAAGAGAAGAAGGGAUAAAGAAAGUCAUGUGGCACACACAAGUCACUCUCGAGAAGCUGAACAGAAUCACCAGGAGUCGAAAGAGUCAAAGGAUUAUUUCCACAGCAUCAAAGAUGGGGAUAGGGAAAAGGCCAGGGAGCGGGAAGAGAGAGAUAAACGGCGUGAAAAAAGGCACAAAGAGGCUUCAGAAUCCAAGAGGAGUGACAGAGAGCGGAAACAUAAAGAUUCAUCAGGACAUGACCUGAGUGAAAGGAUAAAUAGAGACAAAGAGGUGGAGAAUGAAGAAACUGAAGAGAAUAAACAAUCAAGCAAAGAUCGUAAUGAUUAUGAGGAGGAUUUUGAGGUGUGA